This 507-nucleotide ribosomal RNA is filed under the name uncultured bacterium. Its description in RNAcentral is "partial 16S ribosomal RNA". It matches the Rfam family "Bacterial small subunit ribosomal RNA", at positions 28 to 507 of the family's 1533-position model. The record is from RNAcentral.
GACGAACGCUGGCGGCGUGCCUAAUACAUGCAAGUCGAACGCAUUUUCUUUCACCGUAGCUUGCUACACCGAAAGAAAAUGAGUGGCGAACGGGUGAGUAACACGUGGGUAACCUGCCCAUCAGCGGGGGAUAACACUUGGAAACAGGUGCUAAUACCGCAUAAUUCCAUUUACCGCAUGGUAAAUGGAUGAAAGUCGCUUUUGUGUCACUGAUGGCUGGACCCGCGGUGCCUUAGCUAGUUGGUGGGGUAACGGCCUACCAAGGCUGCGAUGCAUAGCCGACCUGAGAGGGUGAUCCGCCACACUGGGACUGGGACACGGCCCAGACUCCUACGGGAGGCAGCAGUAGGGAAUCUUCGGCAAUGGACGCAAGUCUGACCGAGCAACGCCGCGUGAUUGAAGAAGGUUUUCGGAUCGUAAAACUCUGUUGUUAGAGAAGAACAAGGAUGAGAGUGGAAAGUUCAUCCCUUGACGGUAUCUAACCAGAAAGCCACGGCUAACUACGUG